This 253-nucleotide ribosomal RNA is filed under the name Agathobaculum desmolans. Its description in RNAcentral is "partial 16S ribosomal RNA". It matches the Rfam family "Bacterial small subunit ribosomal RNA", at positions 524 to 776 of the family's 1533-position model. Lineage: Bacteria; Bacillati; Bacillota; Clostridia; Eubacteriales; Butyricicoccaceae. The record is from RNAcentral.
UACGUAGGGAGCAAGCGUUAUCCGGAUUUACUGGGUGUAAAGGGCGCGCAGGCGGGCUGGCAAGUUGGAAGUGAAAUCUAUGGGCUUAACCCAUAAACUGCUUUCAAAACUGCUGGUCUUGAGUGAUGGAGAGGCAGGCGGAAUUCCGUGUGUAGCGGUGAAAUGCGUAGAUAUACGGAGGAACACCAGUGGCGAAGGCGGCCUGCUGGACAUUAACUGACGCUGAGGCGCGAAAGCGUGGGGAGCAAACAGG